AGCAGCCGCGGUAAUUCCAGCUCCAAUAGCGUAUAUUAAAGUUGUUGCAGUUAAAAAGCUCGUAGUUGAAUUUCGGGAUCAAAUUGUCGGUCGUGCCUCGGUACGAACUGGUAUUAUUGGUUCCUCCCUUCUGAAGAACCGCGAUGUCAUUAAUUUGGUGUCGUGGGGAAUCAGGACUGUUACUUUGAAAAAAUUAGAGUGUUUAAAGCAGGCUUACGCUUGAAUACAUUAGCAUGGAAUAAUGAAAUAGGACGUUUGAUUCUAUUUUGUUGGUUUCUAGGAUCGACGUAAUGAUUAAUAGGGAUAGUUGGGGGCAUUAGUAUUCAAUUGUCAGAGGUGAAAUUCUUGGAUUUAUUGAAGACUAACUACUGCGAAAGCAUUUGCCAAGGAUGUUUUCAUUAAUCAAGAACGAAAGUUAGGGGAUCGAAGACGAUCAGAUACCGUCGUAGUCUUAACCAUAAACUAUGCCGACUAGGGAUCGGAUGAUGUUAAUUUUUUAAUGACUCA
Molecule: ribosomal RNA, 507 nt
Filed under: uncultured Glomus
Lineage: Eukaryota; Fungi; Glomeromycota; Glomeromycetes; Glomerales; Glomeraceae
Description: SSU rRNA
Rfam family: Eukaryotic small subunit ribosomal RNA
Source: RNAcentral